RNAcentral lists this ribosomal RNA (465 nucleotides) under uncultured bacterium. Its description in RNAcentral is "partial 16S ribosomal RNA". It matches the Rfam family "Bacterial small subunit ribosomal RNA", at positions 339 to 795 of the family's 1533-position model. The record is from RNAcentral.
CUACGGGGGGCUGCAGUGAGGAAUAUUGCGCAAUGGGGGAAACCCUGACGCAGCGACGCCGCGUGGAUGAUGAAGGCCUUCGGGUCGUAAAAUCCUGUCAGAAGGAAAGAAGUAUAUGGUAGCUAAUAUCUGCCAUAUUUGACGGUACCUUCAAAGGAAGCACCGGCUAACUCCGUGCCAGCAGCCGCGGUAAUACGGAGGGUGCAAGCGUUGUUCGGAAUUACUGGGCGUAAAGCGCGCGUAGGCGGCUGUUUAAGUCAGAUGUGAAAGCCCAUGGCUUAACCAUGGACGUGCAUUUGAUACUGGGCAGCUCGAGUACUGGAGGGGGUGGUGGAAUUCCCGGUGUAGAGGUGAAAUUCGUAGAUAUCGGGAGGAAUACCGGUGGCGAAGGCGACCACCUGGCCAGAUACUGACGCUGAGGUGCGAAAGCGUGGGGAGCAAACAGGAUUAGAUACCCCGGUAGUC